UACGUAGGGUGCGAGCGUUGUCCGGGAAUUAUUGGGCGUAAAGAGCUCGUAGGCGGUCUGUCGCGUCGAUCGUGAAAACUUGGGGCUUAACCCUGAGCUUGCGGUCGAUACGGGCAUCACUGGAGUUCGGCAGGGGAGACUGGAAUUCCUGGUGUAGCGGUGGAAUGCGCCAGAUAUCAGGAGGAACACCGGUGGCGAAGGCGGCCUGCUGGGCAGCUGCUGCACUGAGGCGCGACAGCGUGGGGAGCAAACAGG
RNAcentral lists this ribosomal RNA (255 nucleotides) under uncultured bacterium. RNAcentral describes it as "partial 16S ribosomal RNA". It matches the Rfam family "Bacterial small subunit ribosomal RNA", at positions 524 to 776 of the family's 1533-position model. The record is from RNAcentral.